AGGAGUGGAGCCUGCGGCUUAAUUUGACUCAACACGGGAAACCUCACCAGGCCCGGACACCGGAAGGAUUGACAGAUUGAGAGCUCUUUCUUGAUUCGGUGGGUGGUGGUGCAUGGCCGUUCUUAGUUGGUGGAGCGAUUUGUCUGGUUAAUUCCGAUAACGAACGAGACUCUAGCCUGCUAACUAGGCGUACUUUCGACAUCUCAAAGGUCCGCCGUCCCGGCGCGCGCCGCGGUCGCGCGCGAUUUUUACUGUCGGCGUACAAUUAAUUCUUCUUAGAGGGACAGGCGGCUUCUAGCCGCACGAGAUUGAGCAAUAACAGGUCUGUGAUGCCCUUAGAUGUUCUGGGCCG
This 352-nucleotide ribosomal RNA is filed under the name Scarabaeus sp. SIK-2015. RNAcentral describes it as "SSU rRNA". It matches the Rfam family "Eukaryotic small subunit ribosomal RNA", at positions 1172 to 1489 of the family's 1831-position model. The record is from RNAcentral. Lineage: Eukaryota; Metazoa; Arthropoda; Insecta; Coleoptera; Scarabaeidae.